This is a long non-coding RNA of Panicum virgatum (switchgrass), 910 nucleotides long. RefSeq lists it as uncharacterized. The transcript is spliced from 2 exons. The record is from RefSeq and is a predicted model, not a curated record. Lineage: Eukaryota; Viridiplantae; Streptophyta; Magnoliopsida; Poales; Poaceae.
ACCUGACAUUGUUUUGACAAUCUGGUAGGAAACCAAUUUAUUAGUGCACAAAACAAUAUGGUCAUGAAGAAGCAGAGGAUAGCAAAAAUUAUGAAUUCCUAAUCUGUGUCUUUAAGAUUUUAGCUGCGGCCAUCAGCACUAAAGGUAUCAUUAGAGUUCACUUCCCUGUCAGGUUUCAUUGUUUGUGAUAGUGUAUUCAGAGCACGUCGAGGGCUCUAUCUGUUGAUGCAGUGAGUACUGUGGGCAGAAUAUGUGCAGAAGUAUGCACAUCAAAGUAGGAUAGAGCAGCAGGUUAUAGCUAAUUGACCUGGGAAUGAACCAACGCCCUAAAGCACUCUGUUGCUCUGUAGGAAAAUAACUACCACCACUGUCAGCUAUAAUUACUCAAAAGUCUAAUUAUUGAUACUGAAAAUGGAAAUUAUAUGACAAGAAAAUGCAAAACCUAGAGGAAUUGUUCUAACCUAACAGAUGCAUGCUCUGAACUAAUUCUUGUUGCCCCUCUGCUACUCGUGAUCAGUUUAUUUUUUCAGGAUAUGGACAAGAGCUAUCUGAUGUGCUGCCGAUUUAAAAGAAGCCUAAGGUUGAGGGUACACAUUUGAGUUGAUCAGGUUUUGGAGAAGAAAAAGCUUCAGGUAAAGUUUUUUCUGGUUUCUGCUUGAUCGAGAUAGAAGAUGGUAGCAGUAAGCAGUAUGCUACUAGAUAAGAACAGAGCCAAGCAAAGAGCCAAGUUGCUUCUUGCUGUGUGCGUUGCUUGAGAGAGUUCCUAAGUUGCCAGCAAUGCCCAUGUGUUGCCCCGACACUGAAUUUUGGCUAAUUUAUGCAUGUGGUUGUGUAAUCAACAUAAUAACUGUCCUUUGUGUGAAACAAAUAUUUCUCAGUUUGGACUAUGGAUCAUGUGUUGUUUGAUGUA